Molecule: non-coding RNA, 297 nt
Organism: Pelobates cultripes (western spadefoot toad)
Lineage: Eukaryota; Metazoa; Chordata; Amphibia; Anura; Pelobatidae
Source: the annotation of a GenBank genome assembly
GGGGUGACUAGUGACAGAGUGUGGAAGAGGGUGACUAGGGACAGAGGGGGUGAUUAGUGACAGAGUGAGGGAGGGGGUGACAGUGACAGAGUUAGGGAGGGAGUGACUAGUGACAGUCACUCCCUCCCUCUGUCACUAGUCACUCCCUCCCUCUGUCACUAGUCACUCCCUCCCUCUGUCACUAGUCACUCCCUCCCUCUGUCACCAGUCAUCCCCUCACUCUGUCACCAGUCACCCCUUCCCUCCCUCACUCUGCCACUAGUCACCCAUUCCCUAACUCUGUCACUAGUCACCCCC